CGAGCUUGUCUAGCAGAAUUUUAGAGCUGUUCUCUUUCAGGUACAGUACUAGGUCUCAUUCCUAAGUUGGAAGGAUGUACAGUCCUCCAAGGUUUCUGCUGGUGGUUUCUCAUACAAUUUACACUUCUUAUUUUCAGGGUCAUCUUGGCGGAACAUUUCAGCUCGUAUUCCUCAGCGAUCUCUGGAAGAAGAUGGGGCGUAACGGCGUCAAGAAGAGCAUCUGGGAGUUCCUCUGCGGCUGUUCCUUGCCUAAGACCAACAAAUGAUCAAGACAGAAAUGCACGACACGGCGAGAGGUUAAGUGUCGAAUGGUUCCCAAUUGGUGGAAUUCUCUAUGUUGAAUUUAAAAAGUGGUUGUAAAAUUGUGAUUAGAUAUUGCUAAGUUAUUUUGUUGAGUUGGUGUCUAGUCUUGUGGUUGUGUUGGGCUGGCUUCUUCUGCAGCAAGGAGCAUGUAAACGAGGAAUGUCUUGUAAUCAUAUUCGGAAAUAAUCUCGCA
RNAcentral lists this long non-coding RNA (496 nucleotides) under Triticum aestivum (bread wheat). RNAcentral's name for it is "long non-coding RNA (TAES_LNC010727)". The record is from RNAcentral. Lineage: Eukaryota; Viridiplantae; Streptophyta; Magnoliopsida; Poales; Poaceae.